AUUGAACGCUGGCGGCAUGCCUUACACAUGCAAGUCGAACGGUAACAGGUUAAGCUGACGAGUGGCGAACUGGUGAGUAAUGUAUCGGAACGUGCCCAGUCGUGGGGGAUAACUGCUCGAAAGAGCAGCUAAUACCGCAUACGACCUGAGGGUGAAAGCGGGGGAUCGCAAGACCUCGCGCGAUUGGAGCGGCCGAUAUCAGAUUAGGUAGUUGGUGAGGUAAAGGCUCACCAAGCCGACGAUCUGUAGCUGGUCUGAGAGGACGACCAGCCACACUGGGACUGAGACACGGCCCAGACUCCUACGGGAGGCAGCAGUGGGGAAUUUUGGACAAUGGGCGCAAGCCUGAUCCAGCCAUGCCGCGUGCGGGAAGAAGGCCUUCGGGUUGUAAACCGCUUUUGUCAGGGAAGAAAAGGUUCUGGCUAAUACCUGGGACUCAUGACGGUACCUGAAGAAUAAGCACCGGCUAACUACGUG
RNAcentral lists this ribosomal RNA (477 nucleotides) under uncultured bacterium. RNAcentral's name for it is "partial 16S ribosomal RNA". It matches the Rfam family "Bacterial small subunit ribosomal RNA", at positions 30 to 507 of the family's 1533-position model. The record is from RNAcentral.